UGGGGAAUAUUGCACAAUGGGGGAAACCCUGAUGCAGCGACGCCGCGUGAGCGAAGAAGUAUUUCGGUAUGUAAAGCUCUAUCAGCAGGGAAGAAAAUGACGGUACCUGACUAAGAAGCCCCGGCUAACUACGUGCCAGCAGCCGCGGUAAUACGUAGGGGGCAAGCGUUAUCCGGAUUUACUGGGUGUAAAGGGAGCGUAGACGGCGUAUCAAGUCUGAUGUGAAAGGCAUGGGCUCAACCCGUGGACUGCAUUGGAAACUGGUAUGCUUGAGUGCCGGAGGGGUAAGCGGAAUUCCUAGUGUAGCGGUGAAAUGCGUAGAUAUUAGGAGGAACACCAGUGGCGAAGGCGGCUUACUGGACGGUAACUGACGUUGAGGCUCGAAAGCGUGGGGAGCAAACAGGAUUAGAUACCC
RNAcentral lists this ribosomal RNA (415 nucleotides) under uncultured bacterium. RNAcentral's name for it is "bacterial SSU rRNA". It matches the Rfam family "Bacterial small subunit ribosomal RNA", at positions 355 to 787 of the family's 1533-position model. The record is from RNAcentral.